Non-coding RNA from Henosepilachna vigintioctopunctata, 75 nucleotides. The record is from the annotation of a GenBank genome assembly. Lineage: Eukaryota; Metazoa; Arthropoda; Insecta; Coleoptera; Coccinellidae.
GUCUGUGUGGCUUAGUCGGUAAAGCACCCGACUAUUGUGCGGGGUAGAACUUGGGUUCGAGCCCCGCUGAAGGCU